AACUUAAUUGGUAUAUAGGCAAUUAUCCUGAGAAUGUAGGAGUCCCUUGUUGUCCUUUGUUCUUUUCUUGAUUUUCUCCCCACCUAUGGUCACUGAUUUAACUUUGUUUUCUUGUGAUUUGCUUCAAGAGCCCAUAUGUGAAAACUGUAAACAUUUCUGAUUAAUAGACCAUGUUAAAUUGGUUCCAGGUUAACUAAGGCUCACCUGUGUGUGAUAGCUGUGAAAUAUUUUAUUUUCUAGGCAUCAGAUAGAGUUGACGCUACCUGAUUCUCUAACUACCUGGGAAAUUCAAGGUGUUGGCAUCUCAAAUCAAGGUAAACAGCUAGUAUGAUAUACUGAAUUAAGGAGCAAUUUAUUCAUUGCAAUAUGUUUAUCAUUUUGUUGACAGUUUAUCCAGAACUUUGGCAAUAGCAUAUUUUAGACUCUCAUUGUAAGCUCGUAUGAAAAAGAUUUAUCUAUAUGUUUUUGAAUAUAUUUUGUUCAUUUAAUGUUUUUGUAAGCCAUCAUUAUAUGAGCCACAGUUUCAAGUUCCUACUUUCCUAAAACUGUUAUGAUUUGCUGGGAGGUUGAGGUGGAGGAUAAAAACAGGACUCAUUACUGAGUUUUCCCUCAAACUAUGGGUAACAGUGCAAAUCAAUAUCAUUUGUAAAUUAUUUUUAAGGAUAUUUAUUUGAAGGGUGCCUGGGUGGCUCAGUUGGUUGAGCAUCUGACUCUUGAUUUCAGCUCAGGUCGUGAUUCCAGGGUUGUGAGAUCAAGCCCCACAUCAGGCUCUGCCUGACCAUGGAGCCUACUUGGGAUUUUUUUUUCUCUCUCUCUCCCUUUCCCCAGCUCACACACCCCCAUUUGUGCACACCUUCUCUCUCUCUCAAAUUAAAAAAAAAAUGUUAUUUCAUUUUUUAUAAUUCAAUAUUUCACCCAUUAAAUGGUUUCCAUAAUGUAUUAAUGUCUUUGGCUACACUGAAAAAUAGGAUGGAGACAGACUGCUAAAAAAAAACAAAAACAAAAAAAAAACUAUGCAAUUUUGUAACCAGAGCACUAACAACAGCAACAAAAGAACAAUAGUCUGAUAAAGUUCCAAAGAUAUUAAAUUCUAACAGAAAAUGUUAUAGUACAUACAGUACUUUAAUCUUUAAAAAGAACACAAGUAAAGGUAGCUAAACAGAAGGUUGUGUGAGGGAUGGCUGUGGUGGCUGAGUUAUGGAGAAAUGUGUAGACGUCUGGGGAAGCUGAUGGCCAAAUGGAGCCGAUGAAAAUAUGUGGGGCAAAUGGACGUUGUGUCAUAGUACUCGGUUCCUCGUUUGCUGGCUGCUUUCAGCUGAGUAAUGUACUUGUGUUCAGCUCCUAUUACAUGGUGGCCAAAAAUAUUGAAGUGUUAGGGGAAAAAGUGCACAUGAAUCACCAGGAUGCAUUGCCAUCAUUCCCUGACUUAGCAAUCAUUGCAAGCUAAGAACAUUCAGGCCUAUACCUGGAGCUGAACAGACUGUGCCUAAAAAAAUGUUGUGCGUGUGUACUUAAUAUUUUUAUCCAGUGCCUUAAGGAAAUGAUUCUCAGGCUAAUGGAAGUUACUAAUGUUUUGUUGUGGUGGUGGUGGCUGAAGUUCACAAACUAAUGGUGCAAAUGUGAACACUGAGUGGAUAUUUGAUGAUACUAAAAACUCUCAUUGUUUUUGACAGUGAGGUUAAAAAAACGGAAGUUAUUGUCUUUGAGAGAUAUAUGCUGAAAUAUUGACAGAGAAAAUAACGUGAUACUGAGAUUUGCCUCAAGAUAUUUCAGGAAGUUCAGGAGAGAUGGGUACAGAGGAAACAAAACUGGCCAUGAGUUGAUAAUAAUCACUGAGCUGGGUAGUGGGAACGUGGAGGUUCAUUAUGCCAUUCUUUCUACUGUUUAUAUAAGUUUGAUUUUUCCUAUAACCAAAAGGGUACUUUUUUAACUUUACAAAUAAUCAUAAUAAGGCCUCUUUGUUUAUGGCCAUUAUUUGAAUGUUGAAGACAAAGGCCUGCCCGCCAGAUAGCCCCGUGGCUCACUCUGCCACAGGUUCCGGGCUUCCCCUGACCAACCUGUGUACCGGACCUUAUCUUCUUUAUAUGUGUCACUGCCUCAUAGUUUAUCACAUAUUGUUUAUGUCUUCGUGACUAGAGGGAAGAUUUUGCCUGUCUUGUUCACUAUUGUAUCUGCAUUAGCUAGAACAGUGGCCCGUGGUGGUAGACUAAGUAUUAAUUGAUUUGAGAAAUAAGCAUCACUAAGUAGAACUUUCAAGAAGAAGAGAGAAAUAUAGGGGGAAAAAAAGGAAACUCAAUAUCGUCUUUUUCUCUUCCUCCAAGUAAAAUACAAGAAUUUUGGAGAAGAAGAAGUACCCUGGGGGCCCCCUAAUGUGCUUCUGUGCGCUGUCACCCCUCACAGGUCUGUGUGUUGCUGAUGUGCUGCAGCUCCAGGUGCACAAAGACAGUUUCCUGGUCGGAGACAACCAUGUGGCAAUCGUCAAUUAAGAGGGACAGUUUCCCACACUAAAGUUCCUAAGUAUGUAGGUAAAUACGUGGCACCAGAGUCAAGGGCUGAGAAAUCUAAUGGUAAAUCCACUAUACACAAUUCACUUUAAUGUGGCACGAACACUGCCCUUAAUGCAAAAGGAUCUGACAUCAGGGAGGAUUGGGGUGAGGGGGAAGGAGUGAGAGACUCUCAAGUUGUAUAUAAUUAACGUAUCACCAGAGAAAAGGAAUGGAAGUUUAGGUGAGAAUAAGGUCAUAUUUUUGUUGGGAAUGGUGGGAGUUGAGGGAAGUCUUCCUUAAAUUAAUCCACAGAAGCACAAGACUGGUGGUUGCCAGUGGUGGGGUUGGGGGCUGCGAGAGAUGUGGAGUAACUGCCUGAUGGGUAAGGGUUUUUUGUUUUUUGUUUUGUUUUGUUUUUUUGAGCAAUGAAAAUAUUUUGGAAUUAGAUAAAGGUAGUAAUUGCAUAAUAUUGUGAAUGUACUGAAUACCACUGAAUUGUUCACUUAAAAAUGGUUAAUUUUAUAUGAAUUUCACCUCAAAACAAAGAAAAGUCUUCUUGUACUAGCUAAUGUUGGGGAGGGCAGUGGAAGUCCCCUCCUCUGUAAAAGUAGGAGGAUUGGCAGAUGAAAUCAUCUCUGUCCCACCCCCACAUCACUCUGGACAUUUGGGAUGGAUCUCAGAGAAUGGGUAGGAUUUUCACAAGUAGAAAUAACGACUGGAGUAUUUUAUGAUGAUAAAACAGCAUACAUAUGGAAAGGGGAAACCAUGGACAGUUUAUUGCGGCCAGACCCUAGUAGGCUUAGAGGUAAACAUUCUUUUGAACUUCUAAAUUAUUCCCAGAAGCAGACUAAAGGACCCUUCCCAGUCUUAACAGUGAGUUGAUGGCAGACCUAAACCUAGAACUUUGGUCUUUUGACUUUUAGGCUUGUGUUCUUUUCACUAUAGAAAAUAAUCGAUUCCAUAUGCUUUAGAUCAACAAAUUCGUCUUAAAUAAAUUGUACUAAGAGUUGCAGUAUAUUUAAAAAUGAAUAUGUAAUCCAGGAAUUAAAACCCCAAAUCUCAGUCUGGAAUGACCAUAUAGUUAACACCAGUUUGUCUUUCAGAGUUCCAGUGAGAGCCAUUUUCUUGGGGAACCUUCUAUUAGCCCCAAGCCCUGAUAGAACUGUUACUUUCCUUUCUAUUUAUCUCAAGUCUAUCAUUACACUCAUAAGCAUGCUUAUAUAGCUAAUGUCUGUCUCUCCUACUAAUCUGACCUAACAUUUACUGAGGACUUAAUCAAGGUCAGAUCCAUCCUAAGCUUUUUGCAAGAAUUCAUUUACCUAAUUUUCACCAUAACCCUAUGAAGUAGAUAUUUCAUUUGUUCUCCCUUUACGGAUAGAGAAACUGAGGCACACAGCGAUUAAUUUGUGCAAGUCAAACAGUGAGUAGCAGAACCAGGACCCAGCCCCAGCAGACUGAUUCACGAGUCCACACACUGUAGCUCCUCCCUGAGAGCAGCAGCGACUGUCUCUGUGAUUGCAUCCUCGGCACCUGCCUGCCCAGAGCGUGUGCACGACUGUCAAACAAACGCAUGGUCUCAAUGCGAGCUCAGGAAUGGCUCAUACUUGGCUGUGUAGCCUGAGCAAGUCACCUGGCUUCUCUGAACUCAACAUUUAUCCUAACCACCAUGUUUAGAGUUGUAAAGCCCAAAUGAGAUCAUGGAUGUGAAAACACCUUGGACAAGAAUGAAUGUUUAAAUAAAUACAAAUGUACAGGAUGACAUAGUAAGGAUGCUUCAUAAAUUGUAUUCUUCUAAAUACUUUAAUUAUUUGAGAGAAUCAUAGAUUUGGAUUCACUUUUGUUCAAAAAGCAUUUAUUUUUUAUUUUUUUUUUUCCUUCAACGUUUAUUUAUUUUUGGGACAGAGAGAGACAGAGCAUGAGUGGGGGAGGGGCAGAGAGAGAGGGAGACACAGAAUCGGAAACAGGCUCCAGGCUCUGAGCCAUCAGCCCAGAGCCUGACGUGGGGCUCAAACUCACAGACCGCGAAAUCGUGACCUGGCUGAAGUCGGACGCUUAACCGACUGCACCACCCAGGCGCCCCUCAAAAAAGCAUUUUAAGAAAAGUUCAGAUAGAAGUCUUUUUCAGUGGCACGAUUUGUCUCAAUGAGACGCAUUAUUUGGUAACAAUUCUCACUGGCUUGAGUAACCUGCCAGCAAUGAUAGCUAAUUGCCUUUUGGACAGAGGCUUCACAUAGAUCUUAACUUCUUCCUUCAUAUAUUGGAAUAGGCUCAGUUUCAUUUCCUUCAGAGUUCAGCAUUCACAAGAUUUAUGUGUAUUAUUUAUGCUUUUAAUUAAGGCCUCAAGUAGAAUAAAAGCACACUUAACCUUACUUGGGAAUUGAUUUCCAUUUUAAAAACAGUAAUGGGGUCACUCAUUUUUGAUUGGCUGUCCCAAUUAUAAACCCACUAAAUAAAUGGUUACCUAAAAAAAGAAAGAGGUUAUUAAACAGAUGAAUCAAAAGCAGUGAACUGCUCUUAUUUAUGGUGCCCACUUUUAUUUCUAAUUUAUUUCUAAUGCUUUUAUUAGAAGUGAGGGCCCUGGAGCAAGCCCUGUAGUAGAGAUCCAAACCUAGACAUCAACCCCAAAUUCUGGCACCAUAACUAAACCUUCAGGUUUGUACUCAGCUCCUUGACUCCUUUGAAAUACUAUGGCAACUUGAAGUUACAGAUUUCAAGUCAUUCUAUAUUAAAGCAAGUAAAAAGAGGGAAUCUCUCACAGACAAAUUCAUUGCCAGUGUUCAUUCAGCCCACAGUUAUUAGCAUUGACUCAGGUGGCGGGCACUGAGAUGGCAAUAAGAAGUGACUGCUGAAGCAGAAAAACAGAAAAAUUCCGCAACACCACCUACCACUGUUGUCAAUAUAGAAAUUUCCUUUUUUCUGCAACUGAGAUAAUUUUGUAAUAGCAAGGUAUGCUUGACCAAACUUGACCUGAUACCCUGAUUUGUACUGUUUGGCCCCGGGUCCUUGCCCUUGCCUUGAGUAUCUUUGUGGUGGUUUGCUCAUCUCUGGUUACUGAUGGCCAGAGAAAAGAUCUCCUUAGUUGAGUACAUUCGGCAGAAAAAUUCACCUUCCCCCCACCCCCCAUAAGCUCAAGGUCUUAAAAUGAAAUAUUUAAAUAUAUUUAUGAAUUCUGCCUUUCCUUACAAAAGAAUACUCUGCAUUGCCAAAAAUAAUAAUCUUUGGGAGUUCUGCUAGAAUUCAACAUCAUGUUUUGAUAUUCAGGAAUAUGGAAUGCAAAAGAUGAAAACACUUGUGUCAGCGAGUACUAACUAACCUGGAAUUCAUUCUUUCUUUCCUCAUUAUCAAAACCUGAAUUUUAGCUGGCCUUCAUUUCCCUUGAAGUUGGGCACAGCCUAUUCCCAAGUCUCUUCAUGAAAUGUAUGUAUGGGACUUUGGAGAAGGCUGCUCAAAGCAAGUGGAUUCAACAGGGAGGGGUCUCUUUUCUGCCUUCCUUUUUGCAGCCCUCAUCCUACAAACAAUCGCUGGAGUUCCAGCAGCCAACAUGGACCAUGAGGUAACACUGAAGAUGGAAGCUAGGUGAUAGCAUGGUGGAACAAAAAAAUAACGGCCCCUGCCUCUGAGGACAUAUGGAAAUGCCAUUGUAGCCUUGGACUUCUUUUAUGUGAGAAAGAAAUAAACAUAUACCUCAUUUGGG
RNAcentral lists this long non-coding RNA (6180 nucleotides) under Lynx pardinus (Iberian lynx). The stretch from base 680 to 770 matches the Rfam family "tRNA". Lineage: Eukaryota; Metazoa; Chordata; Mammalia; Carnivora; Felidae. The record is from RNAcentral.